RNAcentral lists this ribosomal RNA (501 nucleotides) under uncultured Glomeromycotina. RNAcentral describes it as "SSU rRNA". It matches the Rfam family "Eukaryotic small subunit ribosomal RNA", at positions 569 to 1074 of the family's 1831-position model. Lineage: Eukaryota; Fungi; Glomeromycota. The record is from RNAcentral.
CGCAGCCGCGGUAAUUCCAGCUCCAAUAGCGUAUAUUAAAGUUGUUGCAGUUAAAAAGCUCGUAGUUGAAUUUCGGGAUCAAUAUAUCGGUCGUGCCUCCGGUAUGCACUGGUAUUAUUGAUUUCUACCUUCUGACGAAUCAUGAUGUCAUUAAUUUGGUGUCAUGGGGAAUCAGGACUGUUACUUUGAAAAAUUAGAGUGUUUAAAGCAGGCACACGCUUGAAUACAUUAGCAUGGAAUAAUGAAAUAGGACGUUUGACCCUAUUUUGUUGGUUUCUAGGAUCGACGUAAUGAUUAAUAGGGAUAGUUGGGGGCAUUAGUAUUCAAUUGUCAGAGGUGAAAUUCUUGGAUUUAUUGAAGACUAACUACUGCGAAAGCAUUUGCCAAGGAUGUUUUCAUUAAUCAAGAACGAAAGUUAGGGGAUCGAAGACGAUCAGAUACCGUCGUAGUCUUAACCAUAAACUAUGCCGACUAGGGAUCGGAUGAUGUUAAUUUUAAUGA